UGAUGUGAUCAUACCAGCACUAAAGCACCUAAUCCCAUCAAAACUCCAGAGUUAAGCAUGCUUGGGGACAGUAGUACUAGGAUAGGUGACCUUCCUAGGAAGUCCUCAUGUUGCAUUCC
Molecule: ribosomal RNA, 119 nt
Filed under: Dichanthelium oligosanthes
Lineage: Eukaryota; Viridiplantae; Streptophyta; Magnoliopsida; Poales; Poaceae
Source: RNAcentral